Molecule: non-coding RNA, 45 nt
Organism: Ailuropoda melanoleuca (giant panda)
Lineage: Eukaryota; Metazoa; Chordata; Mammalia; Carnivora; Ursidae
Source: Rfam
UAAAUGACUUUUUUCAAAGUCACUAAGUGAAAGAACACAAUAUCG